UAGAUGACCAGACACAGCUCAACUCAAGAC
This 30-nucleotide non-coding RNA is filed under the name Mus musculus (house mouse). The record is from RNAcentral. Lineage: Eukaryota; Metazoa; Chordata; Mammalia; Rodentia; Muridae.